GGUCAUAAAAAUCAUAUUUAUAUUUAUUUGGGCCAAAAAUCACCUAACUUAACCAUAAAAUGGGUUUAAUCAUUCAAAGCCCAAAAAUCUCCUCUUUCCCUCUCCAUUUUCAGCCCAAGCCCACAAAGAAAGGAAGAGUUGACUUUGUGGUGCCAACUCGUUUUUACCUAAUGGACUUCCAUGCAAGCUCUCAUAUUUCCAUGCAACAAUCCUAUCACUCUAUCUCUCUUCUUCUCCCUUUCUUCCUCUCGGCUAAAUCCAAAUAAACACACACCCACACUUCACUUAAAAAUUCUCUCAAGAAGCUCUCUCCAUUUCUCUCUAAAUUUUUGAGAUCUAAGAGGUUUUCAAGGAGUUUCUUCCAUAAAAAUCAUCAUUCAAGGUAAGUUGGUGCUUAAAUCUAUGAUCUAACUCACUUCUUUUCAUCAAAAAUCACCUCUUAAUCCAUUCAAAUUCAUGAUCUUGCAUCUUAGAACCCACUAAGUUCCAGAUCCAUCCAAGGAACUUGCUAGGACCGAAAAUAGCACCAAACUUCUCCUAAUCUUCUUUAAAAUCGAAACCACAACUCAAGGUGAGCUUCAUACCCCUUUCUUUUCGGUUUUAAGAGUUUUAUGGGGGAGAAUACAAGAAAAUGUGUAGAUCUAUGUGUAUGAGUAUGCUAUGUGUGAUUUGAUGCAUGUAUGUGUGUGAUUUCAUGUGUUUUGUGAUGAAUAUGUUACCAAAAAGGGUGUAAACCCGAGAUCGAUGACAUGAGAAAGGAAACAAACAUAACCUAAGCUAUUUUACACUAAACAAGUCAAGAAUAAUAGCUUAUAAGGUCAUGAUGAACAUAUUCUAACAUAAAACCCAUUUUUGGGCUUAAAUUGUCAAAAAUACAAAACUUGGGGUAAAAAUCGACAAGUCACAGUUUCUUGAAGGUCAAAAUGGUCAAAAGAGUUUCUAUAAACAGUUUUCUGAACAUUAGAAAUUUCAAGGGACUUAAAAUGUAAAUUUUUAGCUUAAUGGGCUAAUUUUGGGCUUUUCGGCCCAAUAAGCCUCAAAAUGCGAAAUAUGAUAAAUUUUAGGGGCUGAAAUGAAACUUUCUGUAAAACAGGGGGUAAUUAGCACGACAAAAUCAUUUUAUGGGUCAAAAAUGCUUUUCAUUAUCAAAUGGGACCAAAAAUGUAAAGUUUUUAGAUUUUGGGCCAAAACUGUAAAAGUUGUGAAAAAUGGGGUUCUAACCGAGAAACACUAUUCUGGAGGGGUUGAAGCUGUCAACAAAAUAAAUUUUGGGUAAAAAUCAUGUUUUCAUCAAAUAAAUAAUACAAAAGUGUCAAGAAAAGGUUUUAACGACUAAAAAUGAAAUUCUUUUAUAUAAAAGGACCAAAAGUGUUAUUUUUAUAAAAGAAGGGUAGUGAAAAGGUCAAAUUCCACUUUUAAACAAAUUAAUUCAUUAAUACAAAAUACAAGAUCCACGACUACNUAAAAUGAGCAUUGUUCGGAAAAAGUGGGCGAGUGUUUAUGAAGAUUGUGAGUAUUUAAAAUUUGGGGGGUACUUUAGGAAAAUAUUAGACACAAAUGUACGCGUUGAGGUCUUGGCAUAAUGGCUGAGUUUUAAAUGGAUUGUUUAGUGCGAUAUUGGUAAAAUAAAAGUAAAUUUGCUUGGGGGCAAGCAAAGGCUAAGUGUGGGGUAUUUUGAUAUGUGUAUUUUUAUAUAUAUUUUUAUGCACUUUAUCUUAAUAUUUUGGCCUUAUUUACUCUAUUUUAGAACUAAAAAGUACUCAUAAUACUUUAAAUUAUGUUUUGCAGCUAUUUGUUGUCGAUAAAGCACAAAAGAAAAGACUGAAGUGGAAACCGGGCUUAGAAGCUAAAAGAAAGAAAAGAAUGCUGAGGUAGCGAGUACGCCCCGCGUACCUUAAGGUUACGCCCCGCGUACCUGCUUGUGCCAGAUAUACUUGAUCGCGUGAUUAUCUUGAGUACGCGCUGCGUAAUCCUAAGUACGCCCAGCGUACUUAGGUCGGCCACAAAGAUUAUAAAUGUCGAUUUUUAGCUAACCAGGAGGGGGGAUUCGACUUCUAACCUAAUUUAGUCGAUAAUUAACUUCUGUUAAGCCGUUUUGAGGGUCUAGAAGGCGGCCGGAAGGCCGUUAAGCUAAUGGGAGCAAAGAUCGAAAGGAUUGGAGAGCGGAUACAUGUCGGUAAUAAUAUGGGUUGCUAACGUGACCAUGCUUAGCUUUCCAUUGUGAUACUAUUAUGUGUUUAGUUUCUGAUUUAGGUGUAAAAACCUUUUACUUUUUGUUUAUGAUUGAAUGAAACCUUGAUUAUUGGACUAAUUGCUAUAUUGAAUUGUUUGUUUAUGUUUAAUUUAUCUUGCCAAGCUUGUUAAAAGAUCCUUAUGUGUUAAUGACAAUUAUUUGCUGUUAAUUGUCAAGAAAAUUAAGUUGUAUGAACAUCUGCUUGAUUACUUGUGUCUUAUGACUUUGAUGACCAUCAAUAUUAUAAGUCUAGAAAUAGCGAAUGCGAAACUAGGAUUAACUUGGGAAUAAAUAUGUUAACGUGUGAGCCUUGUUUGAUGACCAUCAAUAAGAGGUUAAUUGAACGACCAAUUUGAUUAACUAUUAUUACAAGUCUUGCUUGAUACGAACUGAACACUAGGAAACAUGUUAGUUUAAUCAACUGAUCACUGUUUGAAUUGACUUGUUUACUAAAGGAUUAGUUAUAGUGAACGCGAAUCUAAUCAUUUUAGGAAUCAAAUGAACAUGAAUAAAUGAAUUUAUGUAUGCAAUUGUCUAUGCUUUUAAGGUGUAAUUUAUCUACACCAAAGUACCUGAAGAGAUUUGCUUUCCUGUUAGUUUAUUGAGAUUUGUUAAUUAAUUGUUCGUUUGAGAUUCAAUUACCAUUUCUUUAUUCCUUUCGUGUGUCCUGUAACCUAUAAUCAAAUAUUUUAAAUUAAUUCACCACCGUUCCUUGUGAUCGUCACCCAACUUUCCUAAGCUAUACUGUAAUCUGACUAGGUACACUGCCUAUAAGUGCAUAGUUAGUCUAAGUUUGUUAGGUUAUAAAUAUCAAAAUUAGUGGGUACUUCCGUGCACAUCAAUACGCGAUAACUACGAUGAGUAAACUUACAAACUUUGGGCUUGGAAGUUUCAAAUCAUGCUUGUUGGGCCUUGCUAGCCCAUUAACAUGAUCUUUGGGCCCAAAAGGAAUAUGCUUAUGUGCUAUUGGGCCUCCUAUGACCCGAUUUCAUGUAAAAGGACUUUCAAUGGCUCUAAUGUGCUAUUGGGCCCUAGUGGCCCAUUAGUAUUGCUAGUAAGGUCAAGAAAUCAAAUGCGAGUUGGGCCAACAUGCCUUUCGCAUUCCCGACAGCCUAAAUAACUCACGGAAUAUAACGGGACUUCGUACUCCCCUUUUUUCCUCGUUUGUUAGGCUUACGAGUAAUCAAGGUAAACAGAUUCAGGGCGUUAAUCAAAAGUAAUCAUGGUUGUUGGAUUAAGUGAGUAGUGAUGGGCGACGCCUCUAAGGAUCAUUCGGAACCUGUAGUUAUAAACUAGACAUUUUCAAAUGCAUGAUUAUAACGACUCGCAAACCCUAAUUAAUCCAAAGCCACUCGAGAAAUCAAUAAUCAAUCGCCGUGAUGGUAUAACAAAUUGGGAAUUCACUGUGUUUUAUGUAAUGGGAAAACAUUGGGUUUUCUUGGGAAGUUCAACAUUUUCAUUUGUGUGAUCAUUACAGAAGUUCAACAAUUAUACAUGUUUUGAAAAUCAACAAGCAUAUAUUCACGGAUCUGAACACUUUUUAUAAACAAUGAUCUUUUCAGAAAAUAUCGGAUUUUCUGGGUUUUUACAAACUACACCAAAUCAUUUUACCACAACAUUGCUUAUGAACUCACCAACAUUUCAUAUGUUGACGUUUUUCAAAAUUAACUUGUAUUCUCAGGUAACAGGUAAAUCGGAGAAUAAGUACCCAGUAAUGUCAGGGUGUUUUGCUUAUGAUAUCUAUCAGACAGUUUAUGUUAUUAAAUUGUAAUGUUUAAAACAAUGUACUAUAUUUAAACAAUAUCAUUUGUAUCAUUUCGAUGCUUGGUGAUGAUUUAUGUUAUGAUUCAUGUAUAUUCAUUGUGAUGGUAUUCAAUUUAAGUUACAAGAGCCCUUGGACGUUUCCGCCGUUUGGUUCGGGGGUGUGACAGGUUGGUAUCAGAGCUCUAUUUAUAGUGAACUAGCAUAUCUAACCAUACAUUGAUAUGCAACUAUAAACCAAAAAGAGGGACUAACAUAACUCUGAACAAAACAAGUAAAACACAACAAUAAAACAUCCUUGCUUGUUUGAAUUAGGAAAAAGAACAUAAUACCGAACCAAACAAGAUAAUGCUAGCAUCUUGGUUAAGUCAGGACUGUUCAUAGUUGUAUCAAGGAGUGGAUGCAGCCUGAUCAACUACAUUUCCUCCAAGGUACAACUAUCACAUGUCCCGAGGAAAUCGUGAUGACUAGGGAAUCUAAAAACAUACCCCUUUAUCACCAAGAAGAGAACAUUAGCUCGAUCUAUACAAUAAUGGUAGCGUCCUAGGAGUAAUGAUAGUUUAUUCGUAUACCUCCUCUCAGUCGCUAUGGAAGGGGAGCAGUAGGGCAUUCAGUUUCAUUAGGUCCUCGUGGCCCAUGGGAGGAUCAAGGAUGAGCCAGAGGUAGAUCAAGGAAAGGCACACGACAAUGGACCUGAAGAGGAACAGGAUGAAUACGUGAUGGUUGAUUUCGAUUAUGAUGAGUUCGACCAGGAGCCAAACAAGGAAAAGGGCGUAGAGGAGGCGUGUAGUGAAACUCACCAGUUGGAAGCCCCGUCAAAUUUCCGCAUGUUUCAAGGGGUGGAUACAGACUACUUACACGCUCUCGAGGAGGCAGUUAUCAGCCUGAAGCUUCAACUCAUCAUGGCCAAGGCAAGGGCUACACGAGCCGAGUGAAAAGUAGAGGUAAUCACCCAAGAGGUGGAAGAACUGGCUGAACUUCUGGUGUGUCACCUCGACGAUUGAGCGUUGUCGUCAUCCUUACUAAUAGGACCUGCUCUACUACCUGCUAUAUAGAACCCACCGCGACUAGGGUUAGCCGUAUCAGUCCUCAGUACUAGUACUAUUAUCUAUGCUAUGUACCAUCGACUCUAUGUUUAAGUGAUUACACUACUCAUAGAGUCGUUAUGCUGCCGAACUUAUACCGCUUAUGUAUGCUCUUUCGAGCAAAAUUUUCAUGUAUCAAAGUUCAGAUAAUGUUAAUGAAAAGUUUUAUGUGUUUACUGUGAUGUUUUAAUCUGCUACGAGUUACAUAUCCAUGAUUGUGUGCUAAUUUGUGAAAUUACUUAAGUUGUGCCACACACCUAGUUUAUAGGAUCACAAUCUCACAAGAAGCACAGACACUCAACAUCUUUCCAUUCCAUGGCAGAAAGAUGCCUCGACGACCAACCCGCAGAAACCCUGAGCCAAACCCGCCCGAGUUCAACCCUGUUGCUUUUCAGGCAGCGGUAUCUGCUGCAGUUACCGCGGCUAUGGCACAAAUUCACCAAGGGAACAAUGGAGGAGUCAACGGACAAGGGGCUGGAAGUUCGAACAACGGGGUAAAUCAAGGACCUACCAAAACAUGCUCCUACAAAUAUUUCAUCAAUGCCAAACCAUGAACCUUUAACGGCACUGGAGGAAUGAUUACCCUUAAACGAUGGAUCGAGAAGGUGGAAUCGGUGUUCGAGAUAUGUGAAUGCCCUGAGGAGAUGAAGGUGAAGUUUGCCGCAUGCACUUUCAUUGACCAAGCACUCACUUGGUGGAACGGACACGUGGAAGCCAUGACACUCCCCGUAGCCAAUUCCAUGCCAUGGGUAGAGAUGAAAGAAAUGCUGAUGGCCGAUUACUGCCCUCGUGGCGAAAUUCAGAAAAUGGAACAAGAGCUGUGGAAUCUGUAACACCCGUGUUUCUGGGCUUGCCAUUUUAGCAAUGUAAUAGUCUAGGUUAACCUUUGUAACCCCAAUUUGAAAUAAUAAGAACAUAUUAUUAUUUGAGUAUUAUGUGUUUUGUGUUUAAUUGAUUAAUUAUGUGAUGUGAUUAAUUAAGAAUAAAAUAAGCAUCAAAAUUUAAGUGUAAAAUAAGCUUGAUAUUAUUGGAUAAUGUUGUAGUAGUUGAAACGAGGUUUCCGAAUAUAUAUAGAACGCCCAAAUCUGACUUCGUAUGAGGAAGUUAUGAUUUUCUGAAGUUUCGACUUAGCGGUAUUCAGCCCGAAUACUCGAUUUGAGAUCGAACGGUUUUUAGCCGAAACAAUCUAAACGAGAAUCGAAGUUCUCGUUGUUAGUAGUGAAACGAUGAAAAGAUAGGCAAGAACGGACGUCGGACGAAGAAGUUAUGAAUUUAUAACGAAGUUUUUCUGUCCCGGCCUCCUAAAAAUAAUUAAUAAAAAUAAAUCAAAAUUAGUUGACGGAGUCUAAACGAAAGUUGUAGAGCUUAGUCUCACCUACGCGUGGAUAUAUUUAAUAUUUAAAUUUUAAUUCAAAUUUUCGAUAUUAUCCGAAGAGGAGUCAGCAGACUCAUUCGAAGUACGCCUAGCGUACUGGUGUAUGCCCAGCGUACCACUCGAGUGCUCCGGAGUCGUAAGCGAUGACGUAGAGGGCCGAUGACGCAAGGGAUGACGGCUUCUGAGGCAGUACGCCCCGCAAAACCCCGAGGAUCAGCCUAUAAAAGGGGAUGCGAAGACAACCGAUUUUCUUUUACAACCCCUUCCAUUUUCUCUCUAGUUUUCCUCGUUUUGCGUGCCGUUUAUACCCCGCAGCCUCGAUAAUAUUCCCGAGCCCCGAAGCAAGAUCCGAAGCCCCGAGGAUCCCGAAGAGCGUUAUUCCCGAGCCGAAGCUCUGCCCGCGAGGAGCCCGGUUUUUGUGAAGAUCUUCCAGAUCUACGGAGAGACACUACUUCUGCAAGCCGUAGUGCUGCCCGAUCAUCUUCUGAUCAAGUGAGUGUGUAGUCAUUUUCAUUCCAACGCAAUAUUAUGAAGUAUUUUAUAUAAAAUACGUGCUAUGUGUAUAUAUUUUGUUGUUAUAUGUGUGAAUGUAUAUUCACUCUCUUCUAUCUCGUAGAUCUGAUUUAUUCUCUAUGAAAUACGUGUUAUGUGUGUAUGCCUCAUCUGUUAUGUGGAAUAUGUAUUGAUUAAAGCAUGCUAUACAGGUUUUUAAACAAUGUAUAAAAAUGUAUAUUUUUAUCUACUAAUAUGUUGGGUAGAACAUGGGUAGAUAAUUGGUGUGAAAUAAACAGAUGAGAGGCCUCGGUGUUAUUGGUGUUAUUCUAGUCAUUCAGCAGAGUAUGGAUGACGACCACGGACUAUUCUAGACUGUCCUGUGGAACACUAGCAGGCUCAUUACCUGUAGGUGUUGUGAACGACGUGUUCACCGGUGUACUCUAUCCCCCACAUGGUUGCCUUUAGGACACUUAUUGUUGAGGAAGCCCCUCUGCAGUAAUGUCCGUCCCGAUGAAAAUCCUGAAUUAGGUUCCUUAUAAUAGAUGUUAUUUUAGGGACGUAAAGUGAGGAUAACGGGAAUGGGUAAUCGGGUUUAUUGUGGAUUGUUGAAAUUAAAUAUAAUUAUUGUGGGUUGAAAACCCUAUAUGCUCACCAGGCUCCCAAGCCUGACCCACUCAGUUUAUUUGUAUUACAGGAAGUGGCGCAAGAGCUUAAGAUGGGCGAAUCAUCAAGUUGUUUUGUUUACAAGUCUGUAUAUGUAUAUAUUUUGUUGAAUGACUUGUAAUGCUAUCGUUUAUGCUUUAUGAUCUGUAUCAGAACAUGACAUCCCGACUUUUGAUUAUGAAAUGAAAUCAUAUUUCUUUAUGAAAUGUUUUGAUAAAUAUCUAUUUUAUCCUGUUUUGUUUUUGGGAACAAAUUCCGCAUCUCCUUUAAAAUUAAAAGAAUUUACUCUGAAAAUGUUUAAAAAGCAUAAUUGAAAUCGGUCUUUUCUGGCCGAGAUUUCGGGGAUGUCACAGUUGGUAUUAGAGCCUUAGUUUAAGCGAACUAGGAAUUUGUAGGAUUUUUAGACUUAAACUUAGUAUGCUAAGUGGAGAUUGUGAGAUGUGUGUCUGAUAAAUUUUAGACACGAGCACUAGUUUAUUUUAGGAAAGUUGCCUAAAAUGCUUUUAUGUGCUAAAUGUUAUAUGUUGCCAUAUAUGAUAUUAUUUGUUCGGAUCUACGGUUUGUUGCCAACCGGAUCUGAAGGUUUAUGUGUUUAGGAUUCUAAGCGUAUGUAUACGAUAUUAGAACUAGCAUGUAAUCGUUUGGAGUAAUAAGGUGAAAUUAUUCGGUGUGUAGAUCAAAAAUGGUGAGAACAAGAAGCGGAGUUGGAAAUGCUGAUGAAAACAGGAAUCAACCGCCUGUAAUUCAACAAGUACCUGUCGUAGCUGAUGCACCUGAGCCGAUAACAAUGGCUGGUGUACAAAUGAUGAUUCAAAUGAUGUUGGAUCGUCAGAUGGAAGAAACAAGACGCCUGCUUAGGCAGAAUCGUGAAGAACCGUCAAUUCAAGCGGAAGAGCCCGAGGAGAAUGGAGGGCAGUCUGAAGGAGAAAACUUUAGUGGGAUCAUUGGUCAAGACGAACAACCAGUGGUUAGACGCAAUAACCAGUAUGGAGGAAAUGAUGGUCGUGGGUGCAAGUAUAAGGAUUUCAUGGCAUCCAAACCACCAUGUCUAUCCGGAAGCCCGACGCCGGUGCAAGUUAUGGACUGGGUCUCCGAAAUGGAGACUAUGUUUGAAAGUUGCGAAUGCAGCAACAGGCAGAAGACCGCUCUUGCGAUCCCUCUGCUAAAAUCUGGCGUGUUGAGUUGGUGGAAGCUGUUAGCUGACUCUAUGCCCAAGGGAGAAGCAAGCAAAAUGUCUUGGGAAGACUUUGUGGAACAACUAAAAAUGCAAUACUGCUCCGAGCAGGACCUUCUGGAAAUCAGUAAUGAGUUUCAGAAUUUGAAGAAAGGGAAAUUGAGCGUUACUGAAUACGCUGCAAGUUUCACAGAAAAGAUGAAGUUUAUCCCAUAUUUGGUGCCUACAGAACUCUCUAAGGUCAACAAGUUUGCCCUUGGACUACCAGCGGACUAUGGUCCAAUGGUUAAGCAAGCAACCACAUUGAAAGCCGCCAUCUGGGCUGCUAGAAAUGUUGAGACCCAGAUCAGGGAAAAAGGUCUGGAAAGGUCAGAGGUUGGCGAGAAAAGGAAAAUCGAUGGAUUUUCAGGGUCCAGCAAGAAAAGUAAAUUCUCGAAGUCUAGUUCGAGAGGAAGUGGAGGAAAGGUAGAGGCGAAAUGGUGCGACAAGUGCAAGAAGAAGCAUCAUGGGAAGUGUGGCGGGGAAACCACAUGCUUCAAAUGUGGAAAGCUAGGGCAUUAUGCCAAUGACUGCACCUUCACCAAGAAUGUUUGUUAUGGUUGUGGUGAGGAGGGGCACAUCUCAAGGGAUUGUCCGAAAAAGAAGGAAGCAGCAAGACCCAACAUUCCGCCAAAGCCAAAGGCGAGAGCAUUCCAGAUGACACUGGAAGCUGCUAAAGAUGAAGCUGAUGUCGCUUCAGGUACCUUUCUCGUUAACAAAUUGCCUGCCCAAAUUUUAUUUGAUUCUGGAGCCAACUACUCCUUUAUAUCGCAUGAAUUUGGUAGAAAACUAGCUUUGCCUGUUGAUAGACUAGAUAAUGCUUUAUUAGUCGAAGUUGCUAGUGGCAAGUUUGUACCUGUUAGCCAUCGUAUGAAAAACAUCUUAAUUGAUCUGAAUGGAAAUAAGUUCCACGAGGAAUUAUUGCCUAUCGAACUUAACGGUUUCGACAUCGUUUUGGGAAUGGAUUGGCUUAGCGCCAAUGAUGCCGAAAUUUUAUGCAAGAAGAAAAUAGUGAAAGUGAACCCGCCUGGGAAGGAAUCGUUUAUGGUGUACGGAGAUAAACGCAGAGUAAAUUCUGGAAUCAUUUCUCUAAUGAAAGCCAGAAAAUGUUUGACCAAGGGGUGUACAUCAUACUUAGCAUUCGUGAUCGAUGCUAAGAAGGAAAAGAAGGUGAUGCAAAAUAUUCCUGUUGUGUGUGAUUAUCCGGAAGUAUUUCCCGAAGAUCUUCCUGGAUUACCGCCCGAUCGACAAGUAGAAUUUCGUAUUGACUUGUUGCCCGGAACAACGCCAAUUGCAAAAGCACCUUAUCGAUUAGCACCGACGGAGAUGAAGGAGCUAAUGAUGCAACUUCAGGAGUUAUUGGACAAAGGUUUCAUUAGACCUAGUUCAUCACCCUGGGGAGCUCCGGUGUUAUUCGUAAAGAAGAAAGAUGGAAGCAUGAGGAUGUGCAUUGAUUACCAAGAGCUGAAUAAGGCAACAAUAAAGAAUAGAUAUCCGUUGCCGAGGAUUGAUGACCUAUUCGAUCAACUACAAGGUUCAAGUUAUUUUUCAAAGAUCGACCUGAGGUCAGGAUAUCAUCAGCUGAAAGUAAGAGAGCAGGAUAUAGAGAAGACUGCAUUCAGAACGCGAUAUGGACACUAUGAGUUCUUGGUUAUGUCGUUUGGACUAACCAAUGCUCCAGCAGCAUUCAUGGAUUUAAUGAACAAAGUUUGUAAUCCGUUCCUUGAUAAAUCUGUGAUAGUGUUCAUAGAUGACAUUCUGAUUUAUUCGAAAAGCCAAGAAGAGCAUGGCAGACACUUGCAAGAAGUGUUGGAAGUCUUGAAGAAGGAGAAGCUGUAUGCGAAGUUCUCCAAAUGUGAUUUUUGGAUUCGUGAAGUCCAAUUCUUGGGUCACGUGGUCAACCAAGAAGGGAUAAUGGUUGAUCCGGCAAAGAUCGAAGUUGUAAUGAAGUGGGAACAACCGAAAAGUCCCACGGAGAUCCGAAGCUUUUUAGGAUUGGCCGGAUAUUACCGAAGGUUUAUCCAAGGCUUUUCUUCGAUCGCUAGUCCAUUAACAACUUUGACCCACAAAGGAGCUACUUAUGCUUGGAGUGAUAAGCAUAAAGAAGCAUUCAAGAAGCUAAAUAAGAAACUAUGCGACGCAUCGAUACUUUCUCUACCCGAUGAAGUUGAAGACUUCGCUGUUUAUAGCGACGCGUCUGGUGUUAGAUUGGGUUGUGUUUUGACCCAGAAAGACAAGUUGAAUUUCGAAUUGAUCUUGUGCCUGGAGCGACUCCCAUCGCUAAAUCGCCUUACCGAUUGGCUCGUGCUGAGAUGCAGGAAUUGGCCAGCCAACUCAGUGAACUCCUGGACAAGGGAUGCAUCCGACCCAGCUUCUCGCCAUGGGGAUCUCCAGUCCUCUUCGUUAAGAAUAAGGACGGAUCUUUUAGCAUGUGCAUCGAUUACAGAGAAUUGAAUAAGCUCACAGUCAAGAAUCGCUAUCCACUCCCACGAAUCGACGAUCUAUUUAACCAGCUCCAAGGAGCUAGUUACUUCUCUAAGAUAGAUCCAUGGUCUGGGUACCAUCAACUCAAGGUUCGGGAAGAGGAUAUUCCCAAAACCGCUUUCCGAACUCGUUACGAACAUUAUGAAUUUGUCGUAAUGCCUUUCGGUCUAAAGAAUGCCCCUGCCGCAUUCAUGGACCUAAUGAAUCGAAUCUGCCGACCAUUCCUCGACAACUUUGUUAUUGUAUUCAUUGACGACAUUCUAGUUUAUUCUCGAAGUGAAGAAGAGCAUGGCCAACAUCUCCGACAAAUCCUGGAAACCCUGCGAACUGAGAAGCUAUACGCAAAACUCUCCAAGUGUGAGUUCUGGCUCCGUAGCGUAAACUUUUUGGGUCAUGUUGUUAGUCAGGAAGGAAUACAUGUGGAUCUUUCUAAGGUCAAAGCCAUCGAAGGAUGGGCAGUCCCAACAACACCCACAGAAAUUCGCCAAUUCUUAGGUCUUGCAGGUUACUACAGGAGGUUCGUUCAAAACUUCUCUAAGUUCGCCAAUCCACUUACCUCUCUUACACAAAAGGGCGUACCCUUCAAAUGGACGGACAAACAAGAAGCUGCAUUCCAAACACUGAAGCAAGCACUCUGCAGUGCCCCGGUGCUAUCACUACCAGAGGGAACGGAAGAUUUCGUAGUUUACUGUGAUGCGUCAAAUCAGGGUUUAGGUUGCGUUCUCAUACAGCAUGGAAAGGUGAUAGCUUACGCGUCCCGGCAACUAAAGACACACGAAGUGAACUAUACAACCCACAAUCUGGAAUUAGGAGCAGUGGUCUUCGCCCAGAAGAUUUGGAGGCACUACCUUUAUGGUACGAAGUGCACCAUCUUCACGGACCACAAGAGUCUCCAACACAUCUUGAAUCAAAAAGAGUUGAAUAUGAGGCAAAAAAGAUGGAUUGAACUAUUAAACGAUUAUGAGUAUGAAAUCAAGUACCACCCAGGCAAAGCUAACGUGGUAGCUGAUGCCUUGAGUCGGAAAGAGUACUCAAAUCACCGUGUGAAAACUCUCUCAAUAACCAUCCAAUCUCACCUAACCACUCAGAUCGAGGCAGCCCAGUCAGAUGCCAUGAAGGCGGAAAACAGAACAAGCGAAGCGUUACGCGGGAUGGAGAAGAAUCUCGAGCUGAAAGAGGGAUGAGUAUAUUAUUUCAUGAACCGUAUUUGGGUCCCUAAACUUGGAGGAUUUAGGGAGGUAGUCAUGAAUGAAGCUCACAAGACGCGAUACUCCAUCCAUUCGGGUUCGGACAAAAUGUACUUGGACAUUAAACAACAUUAUUGGUGGCCUAACAUGAAGGCAGAGAUUGCCACCUAUGUUAGCAAAUGCCUUACUUGCGCUAAAGUAAAGGUGGAAUACCAGAAGCCCUCGGGGUUAUUACAGCAACCAGUAAUUCCCGAGUGGAAAUGGAAAAGGAUUACUAUGGAUUUUGUGACCAAGUUACCCAAGUCGUCAGAUGGAUUAGACACUAUAUGGGUAAUAGUUGACAGAUUGACGAAAUCCACUCAUUUUCUGCCAAUAAAAGAAUCCUACAGGAUGGAGAGAUUGACAAGAAUAUACAUUCGAGAAAUCGUGAGACUUCACGGAGUGCCAGUGUCUAUCAUCUCAGAUAGAGAUAAUAGAUUCACUUCACGUUUUUGGCAAUCACAUCAGAAAGCACUGGGAACCCAUCUCGACAUGAGCACUGCUUAUCACCCACAAACGGAUGGUCAAAGCGAACGAACCAUUCAGACGCUUGAAGACAUGCUUCGUGCAUGUGCGAUAGACUUUGGGAAGUCCUGGGAUACCCACUUACCCUUAGUUGAAUUCUCAUACAACAACACUUACCAUUCGAGCAUCAAAGUUGCUCCUUUCGAGGCACUGUAUGGACGUAAGUGUAGAUCACCGUUGUGUUGGGCUGAGGUAGGCGACACUCAGCUAGCGAGGGAACUAGCAUCAGACAAGACGUUAACAGGACCGGAGAUCAAACGUGAAACCAUGGAAAAGAUAGUUCAAAUCAGAGCUCGACUACAAGCAUCACGCGACCGACAGAAGAGCUACGCUGAUAAACGGCGAAAGCCCUUGGAGUUUUAGGUCGGGGAUCAAGUGCUGUUAAAAGUUUCUCCCUGGAAAGGGGUUAUUCAUUUUGGAAAACAGGGAAAAUUGAAUCCACGAUACAUUGGACCUUUCAAUAUUCUUGUCCGAAUUGGCCCAGUGGCGUACAGACUGCAGCUACCCGCUGAGCUCAGCAGCGUACACCCCAUGUUCCAUGUUUCCAACCUAAAGAAGUGUUUAUCCGAUGAAACUCUCGUCAUUCCCCUUGAUGAAAUUGAAAUCAACGAGAAUCUCCUGUUCGUUGAGGAACCAGUCGAAAUCAUGGACAGGGAGGUGAAGUGUACCAACCAAAGUCGCAUUCCGAUUGUGAAGGUACGGUGGAACACGAAAUGCGGGCCAGAAUUCACAUGGGAACGCGCAGAUCUAAUGAAGCAGAAGUACCCUCAUCUAUUCUAGCAUUUUCAAGUCUAGCUUUCAAAAGAAUUUCGGGACGAAAUUACCUCUAACGGGGGGAUGAUGUCACAACUAGGAAUUUUGAUGCCUUGUAACCACUGAACAAUGAUAACAAAUAUGAACGAACAAUGUGAAAGCAUGUAGGAUGCUUAUUCAAUAACAAGAAAAUUUCAAUCAAACACUUCAUACAAGCACUGCAAAUGGUCAACAAAGAAUUAGAAACCCUAUAAAUCCCGGUGUAAGUCCAUUCUGGACUAGGAUUUCCUUAUUGGGCCCAAUGGGCCAAUAAGCUUCCAAUUUGACUAUCUUGGGCUUAGAACUCUUAAAUGGGCUCUAAUUGGACCCACUCCAUAUAUUCUAAAUAUUUUGGGCCAUAUUGGGCCUAGAAUGAAAUAAAAUACCUAAAUGGACCUUAUUGGGCCAUAACUAACCUAAUUUAGCCCUAAUAGGUCAUAAAAAUCAUAUUUAUAUUUAUUUGGGCCAAAAAUCACCUAACUUAACCAUAAAAUGGGCUUAAUCAUUCAAAGCCCAAAAAAUUUUCUCUUUCCCUCUCCAUUUUCGGCCCAAGCCCACAAAGAAAGGAAGAGUUGACUUUGUGGUGCCAACUCAUUUUUACCUAAUGGACUUCUAUGCAAGCUCUCAUACUUCCAUGCAACAAUCCCAUCAC
This 14504-nucleotide long non-coding RNA is filed under the name Lactuca sativa (garden lettuce). RNAcentral's name for it is "long non-coding RNA (LSAT_LNC010019)". The record is from RNAcentral. Lineage: Eukaryota; Viridiplantae; Streptophyta; Magnoliopsida; Asterales; Asteraceae.